RNAcentral lists this non-coding RNA (75 nucleotides) under bovine gut metagenome. Its description in RNAcentral is "TPP riboswitch (THI element)". It matches the Rfam family "TPP riboswitch aptamer (THI element)", at positions 10 to 89 of the family's 105-position model. Rfam says of the family: Vitamin B(1) in its active form thiamin pyrophosphate (TPP) is an essential coenzyme that is synthesised by coupling of pyrimidine and thiazole moieties in bacteria. The record is from RNAcentral.
UAUGCGGGGGUGCCUGCAUGCAGGCUGAGAUAACACCCUUAGAACUUGAACCGGGUCAUGCCGGCGGAAGGAGAC